RNAcentral lists this ribosomal RNA (91 nucleotides) under Shewanella piezotolerans WP3. Lineage: Bacteria; Pseudomonadati; Pseudomonadota; Gammaproteobacteria; Alteromonadales; Shewanellaceae. The record is from RNAcentral.
UGUGGUCCCACCUGAUCCCAUUCCGAACUCAGAAGUGAAACACAGUAUCGCCGAUGGUAGUGUGGGGUUUCCCCAUGUGAGAGUAGGUCAU